Cavia porcellus (domestic guinea pig) is the source of this 638-nucleotide long non-coding RNA. RefSeq lists it as uncharacterized. The transcript is spliced from 3 exons. The record is from RefSeq and is a predicted model, not a curated record. Lineage: Eukaryota; Metazoa; Chordata; Mammalia; Rodentia; Caviidae.
AGUUCUGACAUAUCAGGACUCCCACGCCCUAAAACACACGCUUUCUCUGGUUUUCUCUGUGUCCUUUAAUAGGUACUUGUCAGCACAGCGUGGGCAGCCCUGAGACGCAGCCCUGAGACGCAGUCAUCGGGAAAAGCAGAGCAGACUGAAAUGCUUGGCUCAGUUGGGCACCUGUCCCUGCCCACCACGGGUGGGGGUGAGGAGCGGUUUUAUGAAGAUCAAGCAGAUCGAUACUUCCAGUGCGCUCCAGGUCUCCAGAGGCAAUGCCAGAGAUUAGCACUGUGGUUGUAAAGAUCCCGUUCCCCACAGACUGUGCACAUCCCCUCGACCUGCCAGCGUCCCUGCACCUGGAAGCAAAGUCGAUUUUGGCGACUGCUGCCUGGGAAAAAUUCCGUCCUGGAGAGACGGCCGGGGCCAGGGUGUUCUGAGAGCCACGGAGGAGGUGGGAAUGUGUCCUCGUUUCGGAGCACUGGCCUCUGACAUAUAAAUCUUAUGAUAAGACAUCAGAAGGAGAAGGAGCCCCCCAGGCAGGCGGGACAUCUCUGGUGACAUUCCUUGGGUCCUGGACAAGCAUCCUGAGAUAAUGCCCAUUAUUUAUCUCAUUUUUUCCUGCAUAAUAAAACAAACCAGGCUGUUAA